AAAAAGGCAAACUAUGGGUUUUCGUGUCCAAUUUUAACUGUCCGUCUUAUAUGAAAUUUUUUUAUAAUUCGUAUUUUUAUUAUUGUUAGAUGAUAAAACAUGAUUAAUAUUUUAUGCGUGACUUAUCUUUUUAAUUUUUUUCAUAAUUUUUUUAAAUAAGACGGACGGUCAAAUGUUGGGCACGGAAACCAGGGUUUGUCUUUAUU
This is a non-coding RNA of Oryza meridionalis, 206 nucleotides long. Lineage: Eukaryota; Viridiplantae; Streptophyta; Magnoliopsida; Poales; Poaceae. The record is from Rfam.